AGACUAGGGGGACUCUGCUGCUUGUAUGUAGGUCACGAAAGGAGAGGGACAGGCUCAGGUCGGUGUACCCAUCAGCUGUAGCAGCAGAGGGAUCUCAGUAUGGUGGACAUGUCGUCCUGCGUGAAAAAUAUAGUCGAUGGAAACCAACACAGUCAUGGCACAAACAAGCGGACAACAUUGGCGAUUUACUACCUAUCCAACUGCUGCCAAAGAACUGAAGUCCCAAAUGAUGAGGUAGAAAUGAUAAUGUACACUUCUGUAAUGAUAAGCUCCUCAUGUGAGG
Long non-coding RNA from Haliotis rubra (blacklip abalone), 283 nucleotides. RefSeq lists it as uncharacterized. The transcript has 3 exons. NCBI's taxonomy places the organism in Eukaryota, Metazoa, Mollusca, Gastropoda, Lepetellida, Haliotidae. The record is from RefSeq and is a predicted model, not a curated record.